This 429-nucleotide ribosomal RNA is filed under the name Chloroflexota bacterium. RNAcentral describes it as "Chloroflexi bacterium partial 16S ribosomal RNA". It matches the Rfam family "Bacterial small subunit ribosomal RNA", at positions 355 to 776 of the family's 1533-position model. Lineage: Bacteria; Bacillati; Chloroflexota. The record is from RNAcentral.
UGGGGAAUAUUGCACAAUGGGCGCAAGCCUGAUGCAGCCAUGCCGCGUGUGUGAAGAAGGCCUUCGGGUUGUAAAGCACUUUCAGCGGGGAGGAAGGCGAUAAGGUUAAUAACCUCAUCGAUUGACGUUACCCGCAGAAGAAGCACCGGCUAACUCCGUGCCAGCAGCCGCGGUAAUACGGAGGGUGCAAGCAUUAAUCGGAAUUACUGGGCGUAAAGCGCACGCAGGCGGUUUGUUAAGUCAGAUGUGAAAUCCCCGGGCUCAACCUGGGAACUGCAUCUGAUACUGGCAAGCUUGAGUCUCGUAGAGGGGGGUAGAAUUCCAGGUGUAGCGGUGAAAUGCGUAGAGAUCUGGAGGAAUACCGGUGGCGAAGGCGGCCCCCUGGACGAAGACUGACGCUCAGGUGCGAAAGCGUGGGGAGCAAACAGG